UACAGAGGUCUCAAGCGUUGUUCGGAUUCAUUGGGCGUAAAGGGUGCGUAGGCGGUGGGGCAAGUCAGGUGUGAAAUCCCGGAGCUCAACUCCGAAACUGCAUUCGAUACUGCCGUGCUUGAGGACUGGAGAGGAGACUGGAAUUUACGGUGUAGCGGUGAAAUGCGUAGAUAUCGUAAGGAAGACCAGUGGCGAAGGCGGGUCUCUGGACAGUUCCUGACGCUGAGGCACGAAGGUCAGGGGAGCAAACGGG
This 253-nucleotide ribosomal RNA is filed under the name uncultured bacterium. RNAcentral describes it as "partial 16S ribosomal RNA". It matches the Rfam family "Bacterial small subunit ribosomal RNA", at positions 524 to 776 of the family's 1533-position model. The record is from RNAcentral.